RNAcentral lists this long non-coding RNA (230 nucleotides) under Elaeis guineensis (African oil palm). RNAcentral's name for it is "long non-coding RNA (EGUI_LNC074087)". The record is from RNAcentral. Lineage: Eukaryota; Viridiplantae; Streptophyta; Magnoliopsida; Arecales; Arecaceae.
UGAGCCUGAUUCACUUAAGCUAACCUAUUUGGAUCAAUUAACCUAUUAGUGUCUAAGGUAAGUAAUUAAGAGGUGAUUUUUUAAUUAGUUUUAUUCACUUAUCUGAUCAAUUUAUUGGUAUCUAAAGAAAGCAAUGGGUGGACCCCCAUCGAUCUUCACUUACCUGAUCAAUUUGGAAGAUUGAGUCUUGAAUAAGGUUAUUUGACGGUUUGGUUUAGCCCAUUUCAAUU